GGCGAACGGGUGAGUAAUAUAUCGGAACGUACCCAGAAGUGGGGGAUAACGUAGCGAAAGUUACGCUAAUACCGCAUACGAUCUACGGAUGAAAGUGGGGGACCUUCGGGCCUCAUGCUUUUGGAGCGGCCGAUAUCUGAUUAGCUAGUUGGUAGGGUAAAGGCCUACCAAGGCGACGAUCAGUAGCUGGUCUGAGAGGACGACCAGCCACACUGGGACUGAGACACGGCCCAGACUCCUACGGGAGGCAGCAGUGGGGAAUUUUGAACAAUGGGCGCAAGCCUGAUCCAGCAAUGCCGCGUGAGUGAAGAAGGCCUUCGGGUUGUAAAGCUCUUUUGUCAGGGAAGAAACGGCUCGGGAUAAUACCUUGAGCUAAUGACGGUACCUGAAGAAUAAGCACCGGCUAACUACGUGCCAGCAGCCGCGGUAAUACGUAGGGUGCAAGCGUUAAUCGGAAUUACUGGGCGUAAAGCGUGCGCAGGCGGUUUUGUAAGUCUGUCGUGAAAGCCCCGGGCUUAACCUGGGAAUUGCGAUGGAGACUGCAAGGCUUGAAUCUGGCAGAGGGGGGUAGAAUUCCACGUGUAGCAGUGAAAUGCGUAGAGAUGUGGAGGAACACCGAUGGCGAAGGCAGCCCCCUGGGUCAA
RNAcentral lists this ribosomal RNA (644 nucleotides) under uncultured bacterium. RNAcentral describes it as "bacterial SSU rRNA". It matches the Rfam family "Bacterial small subunit ribosomal RNA", at positions 97 to 737 of the family's 1533-position model. The record is from RNAcentral.